This 392-nucleotide unclassified non-coding RNA is filed under the name soil metagenome. Its description in RNAcentral is "partial contains 5.8S ribosomal RNA, internal transcribed spacer 2, and large subunit ribosomal RNA". The stretch from base 1 to 120 matches the Rfam family "5.8S ribosomal RNA", at positions 35 to 154 of the family's 154-position model. The record is from RNAcentral.
GAUGAAGAACGUAGCGAAAUGCGAUAAGUAAUGUGAAUUGCAGAAUCUCGUGAAUCAUUGAAUCUUUGAACGCACAUUGCGCCCUAUGGUAUUCCGUAGGGCAUGCCUGUCUGAGCGUUAGCUCACACCCCUCAAACUACUUUAUUGUUGGUUUGGAUGACUUUGGGAAAGCAUUAUAAAAAAAAAAAAAUUUUUUUUUCUUAUGCCUCUCAGAAAUCUAUAGGCGGUACGGUUCCAACAAAACCAGAACGUAGUAAUUAAUUUUUAUAUCGUUCGUUUAUAUUUUGGAGGAGCUGUUGGCUUGCCUUUUGAACCCACAUAUUUAUUCUUAGGAAUAACCUCAGAUCAGGUAGGGAUACCCGCUGAACUUAAGCAUAUCAAUAAGCGGAGGA